RNAcentral lists this ribosomal RNA (465 nucleotides) under Vreelandella stevensii. RNAcentral describes it as "partial 16S ribosomal RNA". It matches the Rfam family "Bacterial small subunit ribosomal RNA", at positions 338 to 795 of the family's 1533-position model. The record is from RNAcentral. Lineage: Bacteria; Pseudomonadati; Pseudomonadota; Gammaproteobacteria; Oceanospirillales; Halomonadaceae.
CCUACGGGGGGCUGCAGUGGGGAAUAUUGGACAAUGGGCGAAAGCCUGAUCCAGCCAUGCCGCGUGUGUGAAGAAGGCCUUCGGGUUGUAAAGCACUUUCAGUGGGGAAGAAAGCCUUGGGGCUAAUACCCUCGAGGAAGGACAUCACCCACAGAAGAAGCACCGGCUAACUCCGUGCCAGCAGCCGCGGUAAUACGGAGGGUGCGAGCGUUAAUCGGAAUUACUGGGCGUAAAGCGCGCGUAGGCGGUCUGAUAAGCCGGUUGUGAAAGCCCCGGGCUCAACCUGGGAACGGCAUCCGGAACUGUCAGGCUAGAGUGCAGGAGAGGAAGGUAGAAUUCCUGGUGUAGCGGUGAAAUGCGUAGAGAUCGGGAGGAAUACCAGUGGCGAAGGCGGCCUUCUGGACUGACACUGACGCUGAGGUGCGAAAGCGUGGGUAGCAAACAGGAUUAGAUACCCGAGUAGUC